This 240-nucleotide long non-coding RNA is filed under the name Lathyrus oleraceus (garden pea). RNAcentral describes it as "Pisum sativum (pea) long non-coding RNA (PSAT_LNC010553)". Lineage: Eukaryota; Viridiplantae; Streptophyta; Magnoliopsida; Fabales; Fabaceae. The record is from RNAcentral.
CUUGCUUAGUGCAUAUUGUUAAUCCAUGAUAUUUCUUGCAUGAUACUUGUGCUUAUGUUUCAAUCCAAGGGAAAGGGAUUAUAGUUGACUUAUUGGCAUACAUAUAUUCAUUGUAUGUGUAGGUAGCUUCCUUUACCCACCUUGUGCCCUUCAUCCCCUUCUAAACCCUAGUCCAAACUUAUGAUUUUUCAAAAUUGAACUUCUUUCAUAAAAAACCUUGACUUUAGGUCAUUGAAUUUC